RNAcentral lists this unclassified non-coding RNA (146 nucleotides) under uncultured Leotiomycetes. Its description in RNAcentral is "sequence contains ITS2". The record is from RNAcentral. Lineage: Eukaryota; Fungi; Ascomycota; Leotiomycetes.
CAACCCUCAAGCUCUGCUUGGUAUUGGGCGCCGCCGGUCCCGGCGCGCCUUAAAAUCAGUGGCGGCGCCACCUGGCUUCAAGCGUAGUAGCACAUCUCGCUUCCGGAGCCCUGGUGCGUGCUUGCCAGCAACCCCAACUCACCAAA